This 375-nucleotide long non-coding RNA is filed under the name Ananas comosus (pineapple). RNAcentral's name for it is "long non-coding RNA (ACOM_LNC019283)". Lineage: Eukaryota; Viridiplantae; Streptophyta; Magnoliopsida; Poales; Bromeliaceae. The record is from RNAcentral.
UAAGAAUUUUUUUCUUCUUUUUUUUAAGAAAAUUGGAUAUUCUACAUUGUUAGUUGUGUCCUCGUCGGGCUUAAGUAUAUUCACAAGUACCAAAUAAUAUGACAUUCGUCUAACUAGACUUAGCCGAUCUUAUGAGAGCCGUCUUCCGUCCACAACAGUCAUCUGAAAAUCAUGCUCUAUUCGUUGUAUAAUUCUUAUUCAAACGAUACUCAUUUCAUAUUUCCGACUAAUAAUUGGCUAUGAUACCAACUGCGACACCUUACUUUUCAGAAAUUUAUCCAUCCUAAAAUUACAGUUCUUGAGCCUAGCGACUGCCCAAUAUAUUAUAACCAAUUUAUCAUAUAUAAAACUAUUCUAGAUACUAGGGAUGUCAUA